AGUGGUUACUGUUUGGCUGAACACUUUACCGACCUUGUCCUAUGGUGCUCUUCACCGAGUGUCAUAGGCGAUCGGUACGUUUACUUUGAAAAAAUUAGAGUGCUCAAAGCAGGCGUCAGUGCCCGAAUAAUGUUGCAUGGAAUAAUGGAAUAGGACCUCGGUUCUAUUUUGUUGGUCUUCGGAGCAUGAGGUAAUGAUCAAUAGGGACAGACGGGGCCAUUCGUAUUGCGGAGCUAGAGGUGAAAUUCUUGGACCUUCGCAAGACGAACUAAAGCGAAAGCAUUUGGCAAGAAUGUUUUCAUUAAUCAAGAACGAAAGUUAGAGGUUCGAAGGCGAUCAGAUACCGCCCUAGUUCUAACCAUAAACGAUGCCGACCAGUAAUUCGUCUGAGUUCUCUAAAUGACUCGACGAGGGACUUCCGGGAAACCAAAGUCUUUCGGUUCCAGGGGAAGUAUGGUUGCAAAGCUGAAACUUAAAGAAAUUGACGGAAGGGCACCACCAGGAGUGGAGCCUGCGGCUUAAUUUGACUCAACACGGGAAAACUCACCCGGCCCGGACACUGGAAGGAUUGACAGAUUGAGAGCUCUUUCUUGAUUCAGUGGGUGGUGGUGCAUGGCCGUUCUUAGUUGGUGGAGUGAUUUGUCUGGUUAAUUCCGAUAACGAACGAGACUCUAGCCUACUAAAUAGAUUGUCGACUUACUAACGUCGACAACACUUCUUAGAGGGACAGGCGG
Molecule: ribosomal RNA, 734 nt
Filed under: uncultured eukaryote
Lineage: Eukaryota
Description: SSU rRNA
Rfam family: Eukaryotic small subunit ribosomal RNA
Source: RNAcentral